Molecule: ribosomal RNA, 169 nt
Filed under: Lophiodes caulinaris (spottedtail angler)
Lineage: Eukaryota; Metazoa; Chordata; Actinopteri; Lophiiformes; Lophiidae
Description: partial small subunit ribosomal RNA
Source: RNAcentral
CACCGCGGUUAUACGAGAGACCCAAGUUGACAGUGCCCGGCGUAAAGAGUGGUUAGGAAAUUCUUCAAAACUAAAGCCGAAUGGCCUCAAGGCUGUUAUACGCACCCGAGGCUUGGAAGUCCAAACACGAAAGUAGCUUUAUAAACCUGAAUCCACGAAAGUUAAGACA